RNAcentral lists this ribosomal RNA (793 nucleotides) under uncultured bacterium. RNAcentral describes it as "bacterial SSU rRNA". It matches the Rfam family "Bacterial small subunit ribosomal RNA", at positions 8 to 796 of the family's 1533-position model. The record is from RNAcentral.
AGAGUUUGAUCCUGGCUCAGAUUGAACGCUGGCGGCAGGCCUAACACAUGCAAGUCGAGCGGUAGAGAGAAGCUUGCUUCUCUUGAGAGCGGCGGACGGGUGAGUAAUGCCUAGGAAUCUGCCUGGUAGUGGGGGAUAACGUUCGGAAACGGACGCUAAUACCGCAUACGUCCUACGGGAGAAAGCAGGGGACCUUCGGGCCUUGCGCUAUCAGAUGAGCCUAGGUCGGAUUAGCUAGUUGGUGAGGUAAUGGCUCACCAAGGCGACGAUCCGUAACUGGUCUGAGAGGAUGAUCAGUCACACUGGAACUGAGACACGGUCCAGACUCCUACGGGAGGCAGCAGAGGGGAAUAUUGGACAAUGGGCGAAAGCCUGAUCCAGCCAUGCCGCGUGUGUGAAGAAGGUCUUCGGAUUGUAAAGCACUUUAAGUUGGGAGGAAGGGUUGUAGAUUAAUACUCUGCAAUUUUGACGUUACCGACAGGAUAAGCACCGGCUAACUCUGUGCCAGCAGCCGCGGUAAUACAGAGGGUGCAAGCGUUAAUCGGAAUUACUGGGCGUAAAGCGCGCGUAGGUGGUUUGUUAAGUUGGAUGUGAAAUCCCCGGGCUCAACCUGGGAACUGCAUUCAAAACUGACUGACUAGAGUAUGGUAGAGGGUGGUGGAAUUUCCUGUGUAGCGGUGAAAUGCGUAGAUAUAGGAAGGAACACCAGUGGCGAAGGCGACCACCUGGACUAAUACUGACACUGAGGUGCGAAAGCGUGGGGAGCAAACAGGAUUAGAUACCCUGGUAGUCC